AAAUACAUGAGCUCAAAAUUAUAGUAUUUGUCAGGUCCUACCUGUAUUUCAAUUAAACCACGCUUUCACCAGCGACCAUGCACUUGAGCUUCGCUACCCCUCUCACUAGGCUCCGUCUCCAAUUUUUCCACCUCUUCUUCUCUUCAUUUUAUACCAGACUUUGGCUUUCCUACACAUCUUUCGCUUCUCCCCUAACCUGCAAAAUCCUAAAUUCAUAAUUCAGAGCUAUCCCUCCAGCCAUUUCUCUCUCCCUCUUUCAUUUUCAGAUCCUCAUUUUUUAUUUAUUGCAAAAAAAAAAAGAGAAAUUGACUAAAAGACUAUAAGGAGAAAGGUAGAGACGAGGGGCAAUUGCGUGCAUCACAUAGAAAUACAGGAUGAUGGACGACGACAGGUUGUAACUAAAUUUACUUUUCUUUCUUUAUUUGUUGAUAGUAUGAUUUGUGGCUUGUUUUCGUAGUUCUUUUCCUGUUUUUCUUUAAUUCAACUCAUUGGAAAAACAAGAAAGAUUAGAUGAAGACAAUCAAUUAGGGGUGCAUUGUCCAUUUAAAAAAAAGAAGAAGAAGAAGAAAAGAGACAUAGUAGGCAUUUUGCACUAGAUUAUGAAUUGUCUAUUUUCCUAACAUGUAAAAACUCCAAAACACGAUCAACCUAGAAAUUGCCCCCAUCUUGAGAUGAUGGUGAAGCGUUUUCGGUGGUGGUAAUUUGGUUCUUCAUAGGAAGCAAAAGGGUUGUUAAGAGCAAUGAGGGAAAAGAGAGUCUGUUGAUGGAAGCAGGCAGUAAUUGUCACAAAUUGUGAAUGACAAAUGCAGGGGAAAAAAAAAAGGAAGAAGAAGAAGGGGGAAGUGGAGGACAAGGAGACUUGACAUUGCAAAAUAAAGGUGGUAAUUAAGAUGAUGCGAAAGCAUAAUAAAAAUACAUUUGGCCUUCGACCAAGUCUUGAGCAGCGUGACCAUCUAAUAUGAUUGCUUUAAUUUACAUGUCAAUUGGGAAACUAAUUUAGUGUAUUUAGUGUAGGUUUCCAAAAUUUGUUUAGAUAGGAAAGUGAUUUUGUAAAUGUAGUUUCAAAACAGGAAUGCAGUAAUCUUUUUUUUUUAAAAAACUUUGAGCAUAGUCUUCGAUUUUGUUCUUGCAUGCCUCUAUUAUAUCGAAUUCCACAGUAUCCGUGUAUGGAAUUACGAUAAUCACAGCACGCACUCGCACAGUAUAGGUUCCAUACCAUUACAACAUGUUUAAGUUGAUCAAUUAAGUUUGCCAGUGCUGCUUAAAUAAAUUUUUUUUUUUUUAAAAAAAAAAGAGAGAGAGAGAGAGAGAGAGAGAUAGAAGUUUGGGGGUUCUCUAAUUUUAAUCAUAGGAUUUCAGAUGCCUAUAAAACCGACCUAAGUCUUAGGGUGAUCUCCACUGUGUAUUUGUGUAGAACAGGUGAAGUUCUUAUAUAUCGAGCCAUUGACCAUAUCUUUAAUGGUGUAAAUGUUUAGAUUAGACAAAUUUCUAACCUUUUGGAAAUUUUAGAAUCGUGUUUGCCAUAUGGAAAAUCUUCCUUUAAAAUGAAAACAACAUAUUCGUGUAUUUUCAUUUUCUAAUAUUUGAAUUGCUUAUAAUUUGUACACCAAUCUUGAGAUAAGUUGAAUAACAUCAUCUAUGUAUGAAACGUUGUAAAGGAGUUAAUUCUUGAAAACUGCAUCCAUGCAAUGCACCCCUCAACGAACAGUCUUGUCUCAAUAUGUUGCAUCCCUUCAUAAGAGUCACCAACCAAGCAUAUGUAUAUGUAUAUAUAAGAUUUAUUUAUAUAUGGCAGGCAUUCUCUCAUAAGUUGCAUGCAUGUUUAGCAGAAACAUAGUACUGCUACAUUCAAGACAGGUUAUUUAACGCAAGUUCUUCGCAUCUUUGAUCUUCUGAUUAGCAGUGAUCUAUUUGCCGCCAUGAGGAGAAUUGAGCAGCAGACUGGUUGGGGUUUGGGUUCAUACGUGACGUUCAUCGUGGUGGCGCUGUGUGUGCUCUUCCUGCCGUUAGUGAUUGGUCCCGGUUCGCUGCCGCCGCCUCCUCCGUAUCUUCUUCUCACCAUCCCUGUCGUCUUGGUUUUCAUUUGUCUUUACCUUUCUUAUGCAACUAAUCAUUGAAUAAAUGGCAUUAGCCAUUUAACAUCUGCUCGUACUAUGUUGUAGUAGUAGCAUCUUAAAUGCCAUCUAUAUUGUGAGAACUCAUGUAUUUUUUUUCUUUUUCUUUUUCCUUUUGUUUUGUGUGUUGUAAUUUACAUUACAUUGAUUCCAAUGUAAUGUACAUUAUAUUGGGUCUUUCUUUGAAAAACUGAAACUGUAUAAGUUUGUGGAUCAAUGUAAUAUAUACAUAUACACAUAUAUAGUUGUGUUGUUUUUGAA
Molecule: long non-coding RNA, 2375 nt
Filed under: Coffea arabica (coffee)
Lineage: Eukaryota; Viridiplantae; Streptophyta; Magnoliopsida; Gentianales; Rubiaceae
Description: long non-coding RNA (CARA_LNC007048)
Source: RNAcentral